GGUCGUGGCUCAGUAGUAGAGUGCUUGACUAGCAUAUCUGAAGCCCUGGGUUCAAUUCUCAGCACUG
RNAcentral lists this transfer RNA (67 nucleotides) under Marmota monax (woodchuck). Its description in RNAcentral is "tRNA.Ala". Lineage: Eukaryota; Metazoa; Chordata; Mammalia; Rodentia; Sciuridae. The record is from RNAcentral.